This 460-nucleotide ribosomal RNA is filed under the name uncultured bacterium. Its description in RNAcentral is "partial 16S ribosomal RNA". It matches the Rfam family "Bacterial small subunit ribosomal RNA", at positions 338 to 795 of the family's 1533-position model. The record is from RNAcentral.
CCUACGGGAGGCAGCAGUGAGGAAUAUUGGUCAAUGGACGAGAGUCUGAACCAGCCAAGUAGCGUGAAGGAUGACUGCCCUAUGGGUUGUAACCUUCUUUUAUAUGGGAAUAAAAUGUUCCACGUGUGGGAUUUUGUAUGUACCAUAUGAAUAAGGAUCGGCUAACUCCGUGCCAGCAGCCGCGGUAAUACGGAGGAUCCGAGCGUUAUCCGGAUUUAUUGGGUUUAAAGGGAGCGUAGAUGGUUUGUUAAGUCAGUUGUGAAAGUUUGCGGCUCAACCGUAAAAUUGCAGUUGAUACUGACAGUCUUGAGUACAGUAGAGGUGGGCGGAAUUCGUGGUGUAGCGGUGAAAUGCUUAGAUAUCACGAAGAACUCCGAUUGCGAAGGCAGCUAACUGGACUGCAACUGACACUGAGGCGCGAAAGUGUGGGUAUCAAACAGGAUUAGAUACCCUUGUAGUC